GGAAGUGAACAUGUUUAUGCCACUGUUGAACAAACAAAUGAUGCUGCAGAUAAAUCCAGUGAUGUCACUUACUCAGAGAUCAACAUAAACGAGAAGAAAUCCAAGAACAAAGACCGAAAUGAUGCAGCACAGCAUGAAACCAUUUACUCCAAACUUCAGACAAACAAACCCACAGAUUCUGGUGCUGUAUCCUCAGAUGUGACUUAUUCUGAGAUUGAACUAAACCAAAAGAAGAAACCCAAGAGAAAACAAGAGAAGGGUGGUGUGGAUUCUGACACUGUGUAUUCAGAGCUGAAGCAGAACACUGACAGAGGUCAUGAUUGUGGAAUUGAAGGAUCAGGAUAUGUUUUUUUAACUGAUAAAAGAACAAAUUCUAGCAGAAAUUCACAACAGCACAA
Astyanax mexicanus (Mexican tetra) is the source of this 398-nucleotide long non-coding RNA. RefSeq lists it as uncharacterized. Lineage: Eukaryota; Metazoa; Chordata; Actinopteri; Characiformes; Acestrorhamphidae. The transcript has 6 exons. The record is from RefSeq and is a predicted model, not a curated record.